This 1351-nucleotide ribosomal RNA is filed under the name Rodentolepis nana. RNAcentral's name for it is "partial 28S ribosomal RNA". It matches the Rfam family "Eukaryotic large subunit ribosomal RNA", at positions 202 to 931 of the family's 3401-position model. Lineage: Eukaryota; Metazoa; Platyhelminthes; Cestoda; Cyclophyllidea; Hymenolepididae. The record is from RNAcentral.
GCCCGUACGGGUGGAGGUUCAGACAUGUGCGAUGGUUCACCAGGCCGGCCUCAGAGUCGGGUUGUUUGAGAUUGCAGCCCAAAGAGGGUGGUAAACUCCAUCCAAGGCUAAAUACUGCCACGAGUCCGAUAGCGAACAAGUACCAUGAGGGAAAGUUGAAAAGUACUCUGAAGAGAGAGUAAACAGUACGUGAAGCCGCAUGCAGGUAAACGGGUGGCGUCAAGCUGCGAGCCCGGAGGAUUCAGCUGACUGGGAUGUAGUGUACGCGCGCCUGGUGCGUCGAGAGGCCGGAGUAAGAUGUUUGGCGGUCCACUCCUCUCUCGGGAGUGGGGCGCGAUCGAUGUGCGCUUGCGUAUGUCGGUUGUCGCUAUGCAUGCCCGGGUGGGUGCCGGAGCAUGCCGCUUCGUCUGUUGGGCCACCUAGUCAGUGCAUUUUCUCCGUGGUGAACACCACGACCGGUGGGACUGCCAGUCUGCUGCGAGCAAGUCGUGUCCUCCUGAUUACCUUGUGUGUUGGGUGGGCGCGAUCGCAGGCGGAAUGGGUGAACGGCGCAGUGGUACCUCGGUGCUGCCGCGUGUUAUCGUGCACUCUCCGUUGUAAGCGGUUAGUGGGUUAGUGCUGUGACUACUUGCCCUCUGAUCGGCGGCUCGUAGUGGUGAAAGUAACUGUGCAGGGCACCGGAGUUCUCCACCUCAUUCAAUAUGGUACUCGGCACGCACGUCAUAGGUGCUGUUGAAUCGGGAUGCGCCGCUGUCUGCCUAGUGUUGGGCCUGACUGUCGUGUUGCCUGCGCAAAGUGGGUCCGGCGGUGGCUUCGAUGCUGGGCAGCUCUGCAGUGUGUUGCGUGUCUCGGGGUGUCUGUAGUGCCGGGGGGUGAAAUAAGUCAGUGGUGCUGGUGGUAGACGAAGCUACCCCGAACCCGGUCUUGGAAACACGGGACCAAGGGAGUUUAACAUGUGUGCGAGUCAAAGGGUCCUACGAAACCCCUAGGCGCAGUGAAAGUGAAGUUCAUGCUGCACUUCUGCACAUACGCGGUGCAGCGUGGCGAGGUGAGAUCUCGUUGUACUCAUGACACACGCCGUAGACCUCUCUACUGGGCAUUAUAACUGGGGCAACGAGCGCAUCACCGGCCCGUCUCAUGAUGUGGUCAUGGGUGUACUUGCGCGUGGAGUGGCAACACAAAACGCGUAAAGCCUGUGCGUCAUCGGGGCGGAGCAUGAGCACACACGUUGAGACCCGAAAGAUGGUGAACUAUGCUUGCGUAGGUUGAAGCCAGAGGAAACUCUGGUGGAGGACCGUAGCGAUUCUGACGUGCAAAUCGAUCGUCAAACGUGAGUCUAGGGGUAACACAC